Molecule: long non-coding RNA, 358 nt
Organism: Homo sapiens (human)
Lineage: Eukaryota; Metazoa; Chordata; Mammalia; Primates; Hominidae
Exons: 2
Source: RefSeq, a predicted model, not a curated record
AGUUCUACUUUCAUCCGGGGCCCCACUCCCCAUUUCUAAAAGGAUUCUAAUGCUGCAAAUCCUAAUCCUAACAGCAAAUCAUCAGAGCUGCUCAAAGUUCCUCGGAGGUGGGACUCCAGCAGAUGGAAUGCCUGUACCUUUUCUGUUUGUCCGCGAUUAUCUUUCCUGCCUUGAAUAGCAGAGCUGAGCUUCUCCCUGAAGGCUGAGGACUUUUUGCUAAAGCAAUUUCUCUCUACCUUUUAAAAAAGUGCAUAUAUAUGGUGUAUUUUUUUUCUUUCAACUGAGGAUCAAGUCUGAGAAAGAAAAUGAGGAAUCAAGAUAGCCAAACAAUUCAGGCAAAAUAAAUUACCUGCAGGCA